GCCAACUUGGCACAUGGAUAAUAGUCACAUGGGUAGACGCAUUUACGUUGUUCACAGGCCUUGUCAUUGGGGCAGUCAUCAUCACUGGUACAUCCGAUGGGAGGUGGCGGCUCUGUGCGAACUGAUAGCAACACAAGAAAAGUAUACUGACAAUGCCAUAUACACGUGCCGAGUCCAUAACACCAAAGGCCAAGCCAACUUGCUGGGAGACUUCUUGAUAUGAUCUGUCUUUGUUCUACACUGCACUGUCAAGCUCAGACUGGCUUGACAAUGAUGCUCACCUACGCAUUUGCCAUCCUCAUUUUUGACUCCUGGCAAGGGGCAGUCACAAAUGCCACCAGCAGUCAGCACAUAGCCCUUCUCAGGGUCACAAAUGCAUCUUCCAUCAUCAGUGAGUAUGAA
Molecule: long non-coding RNA, 402 nt
Organism: Eriocheir sinensis (Chinese mitten crab)
Lineage: Eukaryota; Metazoa; Arthropoda; Malacostraca; Decapoda; Varunidae
Exons: 3
Source: RefSeq, a predicted model, not a curated record